This 113-nucleotide ribosomal RNA is filed under the name Gelidibacter salicanalis. RNAcentral's name for it is "partial 16S ribosomal RNA". It matches the Rfam family "Bacterial small subunit ribosomal RNA", at positions 1 to 112 of the family's 1533-position model. The record is from RNAcentral. Lineage: Bacteria; Pseudomonadati; Bacteroidota; Flavobacteriia; Flavobacteriales; Flavobacteriaceae.
UAACGAUGAAGAGUUUGAUCCUGGCUCAGGAUGAACGCUAGCGGCAGGCCUAACACAUGCAAGUCGAACGGUAACAGCACUUCGGUGGCUGACGAGUGGCGCACGGGUGAGUA